Molecule: ribosomal RNA, 500 nt
Filed under: uncultured bacterium
Lineage: Bacteria
Description: partial 16S ribosomal RNA
Rfam family: Bacterial small subunit ribosomal RNA
Source: RNAcentral
AUUGAACGCUGGCGGAAUGCUUUACACAUGCAAGUCGAACGGCAGCACGGACUUCGGUCUGGUGGCGAGUGGCGAACGGGUGAGUAAUGUAUCGGAACGUGCCCAGUCGUGGGGGAUAACGUAGUGAAAAUUACGCUAAUACCGCAUACGAUCUAUGGAUGAAAGCGGGGGAUCGCAAGACCUCGCGCGAUUGGAGCGGCCGAUAUCAGAUUAGGUAGUUGGUGGGGUAAAGGCCCACCAAGCCAACGAUCUGUAGCUGGUCUGAGAGGACGACCAGCCACACUGGAACUGGGACAAGGUGCAGACUCCUACGGGAGGCAGCAGUGGGGAAUUUUGGACAAUGGGCGAAAGCCUGAUCCAGCCAUUCCGCGUGCAGGAUGAAGGCCCUCGGGUUGUAAACUGCUUUUGUACAGAACGAAAAGGUUUCUACUAAUACUAGGAGCUCAUGACGGUACUGUAAGAAUAAGCACCGGCUAACUACGUGCCAGCAGCCGCCGUAA